UACGUAGGUGGCAAGCGUUGUCCGGAUUUAUUGGGUUUAAAGGGUGCGUAGGCGGUUUUUUAAGUCAGUGGUGAAAUACGGCAGCUCAACUGUCGAGGUGCCAUUGAUACUGGGAAACUUGAGUACUGAUGAGGUAGGCGGAAUGGACGGUGUAGCGGUGAAAUGCUUAGAUAUCGUCCAGAACACCGAUAGCGAAGGCAGCUUACUAAGGAGUAACUGACGCUGAGGCACGAAAGUGUGGGAUCAAACAGG
RNAcentral lists this ribosomal RNA (252 nucleotides) under uncultured bacterium. RNAcentral describes it as "partial 16S ribosomal RNA". It matches the Rfam family "Bacterial small subunit ribosomal RNA", at positions 524 to 776 of the family's 1533-position model. The record is from RNAcentral.